ACCUGGGUGGCUUAGUUGGUUAAGUGUCUGACUUCAGCUCAGGUUAUGACCUCACAGUUUGUGGGUUUGAGUCUCGCAUCAGGUC
This 85-nucleotide transfer RNA is filed under the name Felis catus (domestic cat). It matches the Rfam family "tRNA". From Rfam's summary of the family: Transfer RNA (tRNA) molecules are approximately 80 nucleotides in length. Lineage: Eukaryota; Metazoa; Chordata; Mammalia; Carnivora; Felidae. The record is from Rfam by way of RNAcentral.